Molecule: long non-coding RNA, 243 nt
Filed under: Marmota monax (woodchuck)
Lineage: Eukaryota; Metazoa; Chordata; Mammalia; Rodentia; Sciuridae
Source: RNAcentral
GAAAUAUUAUGAUGAGGAGACAUUCUGUGAAGAUAUUCAGAAUUUGAAGACGUGAGCACAGUUCGGAAAAAUCUUAGACCAAAGUAAAUAAAUCCAAUUGUACAUAAUACUAAAAUGACACAAGGAAAGAAUUCAUGUGCACUUAAGUAACCUUUAAAAAUAAAGAUGAUUUCUAGUGGGAGGAAAGCAAAAUAUGAAUUAUGAGAUUAAUGGCUUAGUGCAAAAAUGUUUGCUUUUCGUUUC